This 228-nucleotide ribosomal RNA is filed under the name uncultured bacterium. RNAcentral describes it as "partial 16S ribosomal RNA". It matches the Rfam family "Bacterial small subunit ribosomal RNA", at positions 568 to 795 of the family's 1533-position model. The record is from RNAcentral.
UGCGCAGGCGGGCUUGUAAGUCAGUGGUGAAAUACUGCCGCUUAACGGUAGAACUGCCAUUGAUACUGCAAGUCUUGAAUAUGGUUGAGGUAGGCGGAAUGUGUCGUGUAGCGGUGAAAUGCAUAGAUAUGACACAGAACGCCGAUUGCGAAGGCAGCUUACUAAGCCAUUAUUGACGCUGAGGCACGAAAGCGUGGGGAGCGAACAGGAUUAGAUACCCUGGUAGUC